AUGAACGCUGGCGGCGUGCCUAAUACAUGCAAGUCGAGCGAACGGACGAGAAGCUUGCUUCUCUGAUGUUAGCGGCGGACGGGUGAGUAACACGUGGAUAACCUACCUAUAAGGCUGGGAUAACUUCGGGAAACCGGAGCUAAUACCGGAUGAUAUUUUGAACCGCAUGGUUCAAAAGUGAAAGACGGUCUUGCUGUCACUUAUAGAUGGAUCCGCGCUGCAUUAGCUAGUUGGUAAGGUAACGGCUUACCAAGGCAACGAAGCAUAGCCGACCUGAGAGGGUGAUCGGCCACACUGGAACUGAGACACGGUCCAGACUCCUACGGGAGGCAGCAGUAGGGAAUCUUCCGCAAUGGGCGAAAGCCUGACGGAGCAACGCCGCGUGAGUGAUGAAGGUCUUCGGAUCGUAAAACUCUGUUAUUAGGGAAGAACAUAUGUGUAAGUAACUGUGCACAUCUUGACGGUACCUAAUCAGAAAGCCACGGCUAACUACGUG
This 496-nucleotide ribosomal RNA is filed under the name uncultured bacterium. RNAcentral describes it as "partial 16S ribosomal RNA". It matches the Rfam family "Bacterial small subunit ribosomal RNA", at positions 29 to 507 of the family's 1533-position model. The record is from RNAcentral.